This 29-nucleotide non-coding RNA is filed under the name Cricetulus griseus (Chinese hamster). Lineage: Eukaryota; Metazoa; Chordata; Mammalia; Rodentia; Cricetidae. The record is from RNAcentral.
GAGACUAAAGGAACUCAAGGCGUAGGGGU